UUCAAAACUACCACUUCCCAUCCAAAUGAACUGAUGAUAUCAUGGAAUACUGCAACACCAGAAAUGCCUAUAAAAGACAGACCCAUCCUCCAAAUUGCUAGAGACCAAAGAUGCAUGUAGAAACAUUUUGAACUGAAAUAGGCAAAAGAAGCCCUGCCAAUAGACUGCUGCAGUAGAUCAGCCACUAGAGAAAAGAGAAUCAAAAUAAUAGCAGUUGUAAAGCACAAGAUACAAAAACCUCUCUCAACAACAUCAGUAAAUCUGAUCUCAUAUAGCACAUGUUUCCAAUAUCAAAAAUUCCUGCAGAAGAUGAUAGGAAAAAAGACACUAUCAGCCUCAGACAAUAUGGACAAAUACUGGCUAACUUUCCUAACAAAAAAUAUCCAAUUUCUUAUAGUACAUGUUUCCAAUAUCAAAAAUUCCUGCAAUUAAAUUAUAAUGCCACAUAGAGAGAGAGAGAGAG
This 463-nucleotide long non-coding RNA is filed under the name Phoenix dactylifera (date palm). RNAcentral's name for it is "long non-coding RNA (PDAC_LNC020966)". The record is from RNAcentral. Lineage: Eukaryota; Viridiplantae; Streptophyta; Magnoliopsida; Arecales; Arecaceae.